Molecule: ribosomal RNA, 253 nt
Filed under: uncultured bacterium
Lineage: Bacteria
Description: partial 16S ribosomal RNA
Rfam family: Bacterial small subunit ribosomal RNA
Source: RNAcentral
UACGGAGGGCGCAAGCGUUGUUCGGAAUCACUGGGCGUAAAGCGCGUGUAGGCGGCCGGGCAAGUCGGGUGUGAAAUCCCGAGGCUCAACCUCGGAACUGCAUUCGAAACUGCUCGGCUCGAGUCCCGGAGAGGAUGGCGGAAUUCCCGGUGUGGGGGUGAAAUCCGUAGAUAUCGGGAGGAACACCAGCGGCGAAGGCGGCCAUCUGGACGGUGACUGACGCUGAGACGCGAAAGCGUGGGGAGCAAACAGG